Molecule: long non-coding RNA, 201 nt
Filed under: Elaeis guineensis (African oil palm)
Lineage: Eukaryota; Viridiplantae; Streptophyta; Magnoliopsida; Arecales; Arecaceae
Description: long non-coding RNA (EGUI_LNC027375)
Source: RNAcentral
AGGUCGAGAACAUAUUGAUGAUAAGAAAUGAAGCUCUAAGCCAUCAUAUCAUUAUCGAAAGAAAGAUCGCCUCGAAAAAUCUUCAAGAAUCUGGGAUGAUUUUCUUUAAUUAUGGGUACAUAAGCUAGUAUCAUGUAAUUAACACUUAUUGUUGGUGCAAAAAUCCGCCAGCAUCGGAGAAGCUGGAGUCGAGGGAGUCGC